Molecule: ribosomal RNA, 490 nt
Filed under: uncultured bacterium
Lineage: Bacteria
Description: partial 16S ribosomal RNA
Rfam family: Bacterial small subunit ribosomal RNA
Source: RNAcentral
GAUGAACGCUAGCUACAGGCUUAACACAUGCAAGUCGAGGGGCAGCAUGGUCUUAGCUUGCUAAGGCCGAUGGCGACCGGCGCACGGGUGAGUAACACGUAUCCAACCUGCCGUCUACUCUUGGACAGCCUUCUGAAAGGAAGAUUAAUACAAGAUGGCAUCAUGAGUCCGCAUGUUCACAUGAUUAAAGGUAUUCCGGUAGACGAUGGGGAUGCGUUCCAUUAGAUAGUAGGCGGGGUAACGGCCCACCUAGUCUUCGAUGGAUAGGGGUUCUGAGAGGAAGGUCCCCCACAUUGGAACUGAGACACGGUCCAAACUCCUACGGGAGGCAGCAGUGAGGAAUAUUGGUCAAUGGGCGCAGGCCUGAACCAGCCAAGUAGCGUGAAGGAGGACUGCCCUAUGGGUUGUAAACUUCUUUUAUAAAGGAAUAAAGUCGGGUAUGUAUACCCGUUUGCAUGUACUUGAUGAAUAAGGAUCGGCUAACUCCGUG